RNAcentral lists this long non-coding RNA (1124 nucleotides) under Monodelphis domestica (gray short-tailed opossum). Its description in RNAcentral is "lncRNA (ENSMODG00000030546.2)". The record is from RNAcentral. Lineage: Eukaryota; Metazoa; Chordata; Mammalia; Didelphimorphia; Didelphidae.
CAGGGAGACAAUAAGCUAUAGGAAUCCGUCUUUAAAAAUAGGACAGGUGAAAGUGGACCAAUCAAAGUGAAAUACUGCCCCCCAGUGGCUAAUUUGGAUCAAGCCAGAGAGCCGUAGCCUGUGGUGGCUGCUGGCAAAUCUGAGCACAUACAUAAAUAUGGCGGAGAGAACCUGUGUGUCCAGACCUUUUCUUGAACGGCUUGGGUCAUUCGGGUCAUUAAUACUCUCGUGUCUCUACUGAAAGGAAGAGGAAUAUGCCUCACGGCUACAGUAAAUUACCUACCAAAGCUCAGACCCAGAGGCAAGAAAGCUGAGUAAAACCAAAGACAUAACCAGGAGGAUGGAAACUUAGAGCGCCCCACACCAGGUGUACUCCUUCAGUCAAUAAACACAACUGACUUCAGCGUCGAGUUAGCAAGAAGAAUUAGCCGAAAUUAGAAACUACUGGAUGUCAUGCCCCCCUCCCCCACUCUUCCAAGCCCAGAUCCUAGAUGGACCAAGGAAAGCCAGAAAAAUCUCAUCUGUAAAAUGGAGGGGAUUGCCUUAGAGGACCCCUGGAAAUCCCUUCCAUCUCUAAAUACAUUUCUCCAGAAUACACUCAUCGGUUCAGAUGUGGAUCCAUGUGAAAGCAGAAGAAUAUUCAAGAGGCAAGUAAAAUUUAGAACUACAAUUUUAGAGGCUAUGUAGUCCAGUGUCUUUAUCUUGAAAGUAAGAAGGUUGAGUGAGACCCAGAGAGAAGUGCUGUUCCAAAGGCCACACAGUUACUUUUGUCAGUGUCUAAACAAGAACCUGGGUCUCCUGAUGUCCAAGUCAAUUUUCCCAGUUUGGGUGACAUAGCAUAGUAGAAAAAUUAACAGAUGAGAAGUCAUAUCUUUUUUUUUUUAAACUCUUACCUUCUUUCUUCUAAGGCAGAAGAUCAGUAAGGGUCUGGCAGUUGGGUAAAGUGACUUGCCCAGGGUCACACAGGUAGGAAGUAUCUGAGGCCAGAUGGCUCUCAAUCCACUGAGCCACUUAGCUGCCCCUAUAAUAUCUUACUUGUUUGUAUUCUGUACCUGACUGCUGUGGGUUUUAGUUUUCUUAUCUAUAUAAAUAAAGUUAGAUUGGAUUAUCUUUAUCCUUAAAUU